CGGACGGGUGAGUAACACGUAGUUGACCUGCCCCCUUGUGGGGGAAUAACUCCUCGAAAGAGGAGCUAAUACCGCAUAAGUUCUCCCAUACAGGUGGGAGAGGAAAGCCUUCGAAAGGGGCGCGAGGGGAGGGGACUGCGGCGGAUUAGCUAGAUGGUGGGGUAAAGGCCUACCAUGGCGACGAUCCGUAGCUGGUCUGAGAGGACGACCAGCCACACUGGGACUGAGACACGGCCCAG
RNAcentral lists this ribosomal RNA (239 nucleotides) under uncultured bacterium. RNAcentral's name for it is "partial 16S ribosomal RNA". It matches the Rfam family "Bacterial small subunit ribosomal RNA", at positions 99 to 334 of the family's 1533-position model. The record is from RNAcentral.